This 254-nucleotide ribosomal RNA is filed under the name uncultured bacterium. Its description in RNAcentral is "partial 16S ribosomal RNA". It matches the Rfam family "Bacterial small subunit ribosomal RNA", at positions 524 to 776 of the family's 1533-position model. The record is from RNAcentral.
UACGUAGGAGGCGAGCGUUGUCCGGAGUUACUGGGCGUAAAGGGUGCGCAGGCGGCGGUUCGCGUGGCGAGAUGAAAUCUCCUGGCUUACCUGGGAGGAUGGUCGCCAGACGGGAUCGCUUGAGGGUCGGAGAGGGGCGUGGAAUUCCGGGUGGAGCGGUGAAAUGCGCAGAUAUCGGGAGGAACACCGGUGGCGAAGGCGGUUCUCUGGGCCUUACCUGACGCUGAGGAGCGAAAGCGUGGGGAGCGAACAGG